AGAACGAUUUUUUUAAGCGGCCGUGUUUACAUCUGCUUCAAGAACUUUGCUUGUGCUAUUCUCUUUGGCAGAAAUGCUCACUGCCUCCUUUUUUUCUUUCUACUUUUUUUUUACUCCCAGUUGAUCGUACUCAUUUAUAAAUCCGAGCCACCACAUCCUUUCCACAGAGAAGUCCUCCCUGCCUGCUUCUUUAUGCCCCCAGAGCUCCCUCUGCUUCCUUCAUGCAGCUUACCACAGAGACCAUAAGUAGGCAGAGAGGCAGGCAGAGAGAGAGAAGAGGAAGCAGAGACAAGCAGAGAGUCCAAUGUGGGGCUCGAUCCAAGCACCCCGGGAUCACGACCUGAGCCGAAGGCAGAGGCUUUAACUUACUGAGCCACCCAGGCGCCCCAGGCGUCCUACUUUAAGGACUUUCAAAUUACUCACGGGAAAGUACAGAUUCGGACACAUACUCUAAAGCCUGCAAUCCGGGUACAAGAUGAAGCGAGCUAUCAGAGUUUCUGCCAGAACUGGAAUGUGUAAGCGGACAGGAAGGUUAAGGCGAACCAUCACGCGGUUUGCAUCUCCGCCCUACUCAUGAAACCCUCUGCCCUCCCUUUCUGCCUCACCCCGAGACCCUCCUGCGGGCCAGUCACACCUGGCUACAUCUCCUAGAUGCCUUCACAACGGGACUGGCUUUAAGUGGGAUUUUUUACUCUAAGUCCUUGUCUCUCUCCCCACACUUAGCUCCACGCUGUGUGUCCUGGAGUCAGACGCUCUCAGCCCCAACCCAGGCUAAACCAGCUGGAUAAGGAGUGUGCACGGGAAGAGCCUACUGGCCGAUGACAUUGAACGGCACAGGGUUCAUAGUGAGUUAGACACGCGCGUUCCUGGUCUUUGGGAGCACCCAGGCUACAACAGGACAGGCGUCGAGGAGACGGAAUGGCUGGCUACAUACGGGAAGGAAAGACGAGAGCUAACCAGAAGAAGAGAAGGACUAAACGCAAUAGAAUCUGGGCAGAGGAGGGAAGAACCCCAGGCGGACCGAGCUGUAAGAGAAAGGCAAGCCGGUGCCUAGAAGAUGGAUUAGUUCAGACAAUCCCCAAGAUGGUUGGAAGGAUCCUGUGAACUGCGGUGAGGACAGCGGCCAGCACAAAGGCGAGUGUGGGCAGCCCCAAGCAGGCUUCGCUCACUCAAGGAGUCUCACAGAAAAGGCAAGCAAAGAAAGGGUUUCAAAUAUUUUCUUAACUGUUUCAAAAGUGCUUCAAAUAUUUUCUCAAGUGUUUUGAAUAUUUUCUUAACUUGGAAGCUCUGCUUAGUGUAAAGCAUGACAAGGGAAGGGGGGGAGAAACGAAAUUACUGAUAACAACUUCUAACAAUAGAAAAUUGUAAUAUACUGGGUUUACAGAGGUUGUACUCUUACUUUGCUUCCACACCAGAUUCACACGACUAUCACAUCCACAAUAAUGUAAAUUGUAUAACAAACCAUAUGUUUAUCGAUACAUUUCAGGAGCAAUUCUGAGCUCAUAAGACAUGCUGUGCUUUGACUUUUGCUAAACUAAUCUUUGAUAUAUUUGGACAAAAUUCAUUCAGGUACCCAGAUUGUGUUUUAUUUAACAUCAGCUCACUUCCCCCUUUCUCUUGCUUUUGGAAAACUCCCUAAAAAUCCAUUUGGCUGUUUUUGAUCACUUUAAAAUGGUUAAAAUGUUUCCUUUA
Long non-coding RNA from Mustela lutreola (European mink), 1692 nucleotides. RefSeq lists it as uncharacterized. The transcript has 3 exons. NCBI's taxonomy places the organism in Eukaryota, Metazoa, Chordata, Mammalia, Carnivora, Mustelidae. The record is from RefSeq and is a predicted model, not a curated record.